AUUAAUUAAAAAAAUAAAGUUAAAUAUAAAAAUUGAAACAAAAAUGUAAAAUUAAAAGAUUAAACAAUUUACAUAAGCCAACAAGUCGUCAUUAGGAAACGAACCCUCAAAUCUUUGUUAGAUAAGCAAAUUUUCUUAAAUUAUUUUCCAAGCAACCUUUUGUAUAUCUUUUGUUACAUUGUUUUAGUGUUAAUUACUUUGAUUAAAUUGUGUGAAUAAUGGUAUUAAACAAAUAUAAAAUUGAAGGUAAACACCAUUCCAGGAUUGUAUUGAUAUUGGUAGUUGGACUGGAAGAGGAGAAAAAAAUGAACGACUCAUUUCAAUAAUUGAAUAACUCAUCUGAUCAAAGGAAAUUCAUUCAAUGGAUUCUGCGUCAUAUUUUCACUUCAAAUUUGGCUUUACUUUUGCUGUUCAAUUUUUAUCAAGAUUCUGAGUUAUUCUGGAAACUAAAUUGGUUACAAUGUUGCUCUUGGUUUAUUUAGGUAUCAUUGUGAUGAUAUGAUAAAUAUGAGCAGAAAAUUUUGUUCUGGUUUGGUUACAGUGUAAAUAACUCAGAGAAGAGGAAAAAUAGUUGCAACAAAAAUGGACUAACUAUUACUUGGAUUGAUAUAUUAUUAUAUAAAAUAAUCCAUUGGAAAGGAGGGCGAAAAAAGAGGAAAAAAGAUAAUGUUGCAUUUUGAAUAAUAAAAUGGAUCCCAGUUAUUACAAUUUAGAGUUUGCACUUUACUUGGUUAAUGUAACUCUGUCUACACUGUUAAACCUGAUCAAAGCGCAACAAUUUGUUUCAUCUUGUAUAACUAUUGUUAAACAAGUUGUCACUACAAUAAUGGAAAACAUGGUAGAUUAAUCCUGCCAAGGUGUUAACCCAAAUUAACUCUCAACAUGGAAGUCAAUGUAAUGUGGAUAACAACAAAGCUACUGAACAUUAGGAGAAAAUGACAUGAAAAUAAUCAAACCAAUGGAUUUCAAUUUGUUAUAACAGCGGAUAUACAAGAAGAAGGAGAAAAAAUUGUCACAAAAAUUAUAAUAAAUGAGCUAAGACUGUGCAUUUAUCAAGCCAUUGGAGCACGCACUUUUUUCAGUUGAAAAACAAAAUCAAAAAGGAUAAAGAAAUGUAGGUGGUGAAAAAAAAUUGGAAUCUUGGGGAGGAAAACAAGUUGUUAUUAUGAUAAAACGAUUUUACAGGUCAAAGAAAUUUGCUGAACCACCUCGUCACAAUCAUUUCUCAUACUCAACUUGAAAUAUAAAUUUAUGGUUCAUCUUCCGUUAUUUUGAUCGAUAUCAUCUAUUUAUCUGAGUAUUACUAUAUACAGUAGACAAAAUAUAUGAAUAUGUGUUGAGCAAAAAGUUAUACAUGCAAUGACUUUAGGUUCAAGACAUUUCUCUUCAUAAGGCAGUAGGAAGAUGAAGUAAAAGGAAAAGGAGGAUAAAUAGGAAAGAUAAAGAGGGUAAAAAGCACAAGGCUGUAAGAUGAUAUAGUGUCAAGGUAACUCGGCUGAUGAUAAGGUUAGAGGAAACAUUACAAAUAAUGCACGCUUCUCAAUUGGUAGAGAUAAAUCAUGUGUACACAUAAAUCUACUUUUUGAUAUUAUCUAUUCUCAGAGUUGAUCAAAUUCAAGACUUACGGUUAAGGUGUAAAUAACGGUGAAAGUAUGCAAGAUAUGGGAGUAAAGGAUUGCAUUAGAAUAGAUGAAAGAGUUGCCAAAAACAAGGCUAUUAAAUAAUCAAGGAAAAAGGGGAAGAAAAGUAAAUCAAAAUCCAAAGGUAUUUAAGGUUAAACUAUAAUCCAUAAGGGAUGAAAAUGAUGAUGAACUUUAUUGGACCAUCCAAUGUUGUAUAAUUUAUGAGCAACAAAUGCCUCUAGAGGAUCAAUAUUAAUUUAGUGGCAACAACAACAAAAAACUCUUCUUUAUACUGACUCACCUGAUUGGACAUGAUGAAAAGAGUUGC
Tetranychus urticae (two-spotted spider mite) is the source of this 1950-nucleotide long non-coding RNA. RefSeq lists it as uncharacterized. Lineage: Eukaryota; Metazoa; Arthropoda; Arachnida; Trombidiformes; Tetranychidae. The record is from RefSeq and is a predicted model, not a curated record.